GAUGAACGCUGGCGGCGUGCCUAAUACAUGCAAGUCGAGCGAACGGACGAGAAGCUUGCUUCUCUGAUGUUAGCGGCGGACGGGUGAGUAACACGUGGAUAACCUACCUAUAAGACUGGGAUAACUUCGGGAAACCGGAGGUAAUACCGGAUAAUAUUUUGAACCGCAUGGUUCAAAGGUGAAAGACGGUCUUGCUGUCACUUAUAGAUGGAUCCGCGCUGCAUUAGCUAGUUGGUAAGGUAACGGCUUACCAAGGCAACGAUGCAUAGCCGACCUGAGAGGGUGAUCGGCCACACUGGAACUGAGACACGGUCCAGACUCCUACGGGAGGCAGCAGUAGGGAAUCUUCCGCAAUGGGCGAAAGCCUGACGGAGCAACGCCGCGUGAGUGAUGAAGGUCUUCGGAUCGUAAAACUCUGUUAUUAGGGAAGAACAUAUGUGUAAGUAACUGUGCACAUCUUGACGGUACCUAAUCAGAAAGCCACGGCUAACUACGUG
Molecule: ribosomal RNA, 497 nt
Filed under: uncultured bacterium
Lineage: Bacteria
Description: partial 16S ribosomal RNA
Rfam family: Bacterial small subunit ribosomal RNA
Source: RNAcentral